GUCGCCAUAGUGUAAUGGUAGCAUACGGGACUGUGGAUCCUUUGGUCUGGGUUCGAAUCCCAGUGGCGACC
This 71-nucleotide transfer RNA is filed under the name Candidatus Aenigmatarchaeota archaeon. Its description in RNAcentral is "tRNA-His". It matches the Rfam family "tRNA". From Rfam's summary of the family: Transfer RNA (tRNA) molecules are approximately 80 nucleotides in length. Their secondary structure includes four short double-helical elements and three loops (D, anti-codon, and T loops). Further hydrogen bonds mediate the characteristic L-shaped molecular structure. tRNAs have two regions of fundamental functional importance: the anti-codon, which is responsible for specific mRNA codon recognition, and the 3' end, to which the tRNAs corresponding amino acid is attached (by aminoacyl-tRNA synthetases). tRNAs cope with the degeneracy of the genetic code in two manners: having more than one tRNA (with a specific anti-codon) for a particular amino acid; and 'wobble' base-pairing, i.e. permitting non-standard base-pairing at the 3rd anti-codon position. Lineage: Archaea; Nanobdellati; Candidatus Aenigmatarchaeota. The record is from RNAcentral.